This 440-nucleotide ribosomal RNA is filed under the name uncultured archaeon. Its description in RNAcentral is "bacterial SSU rRNA". It matches the Rfam family "Archaeal small subunit ribosomal RNA", at positions 559 to 997 of the family's 1478-position model. The record is from RNAcentral.
UCAACUAUUAGGCUUCGGGGGAGUACUGCCAGACGUUGGAACCGGGAGAGGUAAGAGGUACUACAGGGGUAGGAGUGAAAUCUUGUAAUCCCUGUGGGACCACCUGUGGCGAAGGCGUCUUACCAGAACGGGUUCGACGGUGAGGACGAAAGCUGGGGGCACGAACCGGAUUAGAUACCCGGGUAGUCCCAGCCGUAAACGAUGCUCGCUAGGUGUCAGGCAUGGCGCGACCGUGUCUGGUGCCGCAGGGAAGCCGUGAAGCGAGCCACCUGGGAAGUACGGCCGCAAGGCUGAAACUUAAAGGAAUUGGCGGGGGAGCACAACAACGGGUGGAGCCCUGCGGUUUAAUUGGACUCAACGCCGGACAACUCACCGGGGGCGACAGCAAUAUGUAGGCCAAGCUGAAGACUUUGCCUGAAUCGCUGAGUAGUGGUGCAUGG